RNAcentral lists this ribosomal RNA (322 nucleotides) under uncultured eukaryote. RNAcentral's name for it is "partial 18S ribosomal RNA". It matches the Rfam family "Eukaryotic small subunit ribosomal RNA", at positions 1470 to 1796 of the family's 1831-position model. The record is from RNAcentral.
CCCUUAGAUGUUCUGGGCCGCACGCGUGCUACAAUGACGUUGUCAAAGUGAAUUCCGAACAGAGAUGUUUGGUUUAUCUCAUAAAAUCAUGACAUGACGGGGCUUGACGUUUGAAACUAUUUGUCACCAACGAGGAAUUCCUUGUAAGUUUCAGUCAUCAUCUGAAAUUGAUUACGUCCCUGCCCUUUGUACACACCGCCCGUCGCUUCUACCGAUUGAGUGUCUCGGUGAAUACUUUGGACUGCUUUCUUAUCGGUUCGCCGAUUUGCUAAGCGGAAAAUUGAGUGAACCUCGACACUUAGAGGAAGAAGAAGUCGUAACA